RNAcentral lists this long non-coding RNA (205 nucleotides) under Homo sapiens (human). RNAcentral describes it as "non-protein coding lnc-RFX6-1:1". Lineage: Eukaryota; Metazoa; Chordata; Mammalia; Primates; Hominidae. The record is from RNAcentral.
UGUCCCCUGACUUAACUACUUAUUUUGCAUGUUCAAGAAAUGAAGUAUAGUCAUGCACAGAUAAUGCUUCUGUCAACAAUGGACUACAUAUAUGACAGUGGCAGUCUCCUAAUAUUAUAAUAAAUUAUUUUCACUGUACCUUUUCUAUCUUUAGAUAUCUUUAGAUACACAAAUACUUCCAAUUGCCUUACAAUUGUUUGCAGCA